UACGUAGGGGGCGAGCGUUGUCCGGAAUUACUGGGCGUAAAGGGCGUGUAGGCGGCCGACCAAGUCCGGUGUGAAAUUUCAGGGCUCAACCCUGGACGUGCACUGGAAACUGGUUGGCUUGAGUGCAGGAGAGGAAAGUGGAAUUCCCAGUGUAGCGGUGAAAUGCGUAGAUAUUGGGAGGAACACCAGUGGCGAAGGCGACUUUCUGGCCUGUAACUGACGCUGAGGCACGAAAGCGUGGGGAGCAAAC
Molecule: ribosomal RNA, 250 nt
Filed under: uncultured bacterium
Lineage: Bacteria
Also listed under: 1 other name
Description: partial 16S ribosomal RNA
Rfam family: Bacterial small subunit ribosomal RNA
Source: RNAcentral